Pteropus alecto (black flying fox) is the source of this 73-nucleotide non-coding RNA. Lineage: Eukaryota; Metazoa; Chordata; Mammalia; Chiroptera; Pteropodidae. The record is from Rfam.
GGUUCCAUAGUGUAGUGGUUAGCACAUCUGCUUUAAACAUAGAAGGUCCUAGGUUUGUGCCCCAGUGGAGCCA